AUUGAACGCUGGCGGCAUGCCUUACACAUGCAAGUCGAACGGCAGCAUGGAGAGCUUGCUCUCUGAUGGCGAGUGGCGAACGGGUGAGUAAAGCAUCGGAACGUACCGUGUAGUGGGGGAUAACGUAGCGAAAGUUACGCUAAUACCGCAUACGCACUGAGGUGGAAAGCAGGGGAUCGCAAGACCUUGCGCUAUACGAGCGGCCGAUGUCGGAUUGGCUAGUUGGUAGGGUAAAGGCCUACCAAGGCGACGAUCUGUGGCGGGUCUGAGAGGAUGAGCCGCCACACUGGGACUGUGACACGGCCCAGACUCCUACGGGAGGCAGCAGUGGGGAAUUUUGGACAAUGGGGGCAACCCUGAUCCAGCCAUGCCGCGUGAGUGAAGAAGGCCUUCGGGUUGUAAAGCUCUUUCGGCCGGGAAGAAAUCGCACAGGCUAAUACUCUGUGUGGAUGACGGUACCGGCAUAAGAAGCACCGGCUAACUACGUGCCAGCCGCCGCCGUAA
RNAcentral lists this ribosomal RNA (504 nucleotides) under uncultured bacterium. RNAcentral describes it as "partial 16S ribosomal RNA". It matches the Rfam family "Bacterial small subunit ribosomal RNA", at positions 30 to 523 of the family's 1533-position model. The record is from RNAcentral.